Molecule: unclassified non-coding RNA, 395 nt
Filed under: Hevea brasiliensis (rubber tree)
Lineage: Eukaryota; Viridiplantae; Streptophyta; Magnoliopsida; Malpighiales; Euphorbiaceae
Source: RNAcentral
UAUAUAAUGGGGCACUCAUAUGUGAAGGCAAGAAGAACUUCCACAUUUUUGAAGAAGCUUGCUAUUGAUAUUGGGUAUUCAUUUCUUCGGAAGAACUGCAGAGGCCCUGCUGUGGCACUUAACAUUCCUCACAUCAGCCUUAUUGAAGUCGGCAUGAUCUAUUAUGUCUAGCUAUUUGGAGGAGUUCUUCAUUCAUUGACCUUGGGCACAUCGCAUUUUGAGCAGAUGGAAUACAAAGGUGGCUAAUGCCUUGCCUGUGGCAGUGGAACGAUUAUGAAGUUACAAAGGUCAGGUUGUUUUAGUGCACAAGUUUCAAGAAACAGCUUCCCUUUUGUUUUGUGGCUCUACUUUCCCAUAUGUAGAUAACGUUUCUGUUGUUAACUUCAUUUGAUGAA